This 1697-nucleotide unclassified non-coding RNA is filed under the name Portunus trituberculatus (swimming crab). RNAcentral's name for it is "bone morphogenetic protein 10-like, transcript variant X2". The record is from RNAcentral. Lineage: Eukaryota; Metazoa; Arthropoda; Malacostraca; Decapoda; Portunidae.
CAGGACAGAGGGGCAGUAGUGGUCAGGCGAGCAGACGACGCGCAGCCAGUCAGAUAGCUGCGAGUAAGUGAACCACGGGACGCGGGAGGCGGCCAGUUGCGAUGUACUACAAGAGUUAAGGUGUUUCAAUGGUCAGUCGCGGCCCCGGUGGGCACGUAUAAGCCGGAGAGUGAUGCGAGUGGUGCACUGUGAGAUAAAGCGAACAAAGUGUUGCCAACUUAGUGUUAUGGAGAAAGGUGCUGCGAAAGUGAGACAAGCAAGUGUGAAAGGCGCAAGUCGCCUCUAGACAUCUGCACAGGCGCCGCGCCGCUGAAGGCUGCCAGGGUGGCGGGCGCGCCCAGGUGGUGCAAAGCGUGAUGGGCGGCAAAUAAGACCACGAGGCACCACUGACGCCCCUCAUGACCCGAAGCAGGUGGGGGGCGGCCCGCCUGGCCACAUUGCUGCUGCUGGCCAUGGUGGGCGUCGCUGGAGAGGCCAUGCCCGCACCCCCAGUCCCCCCUACCAAUCACACCGUAGAGGAUGACUACGAGUACUACUAUGACUAUGACUAUUACUAUGAUGAGGAUGGAUCCAGGAAGCUAAAUAUGAGCGAAUUUCGCCUGCCGAAGGAGCAGAGGCGGAUUGGCGAACCUUACGUGCCUCGCUACAUGUUGGAGUUGUACGCCGAGCAGAGUCUUAGCAGGCAGACGCCGCUGCCUGGCGCCGAUCUUGUCAGGAGCUUCACUGCCGUCAACACAGAGAGCCAUGCCGGUGACCCGGACGUUGGGGGCAGGGCAGCGAGGAAGCACACGCUGGGCUUCAACGUGACGGCACCGCGGGGAGAGACAGUCACCAACGCCACACUGCGUCUGUAUACCAUCAUCACCCGUGACCAAUACGCCUAUAUCGGAGUGGAGCGUCGCGUGCGAGUGGAAAUGACUCUGCCCCGCGACGAGGCCUUGCACGGGAGUCACGUGACGGAAGAGGACCUGAUGACUGUGAAGGUGUGUGAAAAAGACAUUUAUGAGCUGCACAACGCUUGGGAAACCUUCGACGUGACCUUCGCCGUGAGGCACUGGCUGGCGCACCCUUCCCGUCCCCAGCUCCUGCAGAUCUAUAUUGAAUCAGUGUUUUCAACUGUUGGAAGUGGUGGCGAAAUGGAUGUGGCCACCAUGCCUCUGACGGAUAGUGAACCACUUCUCCUCCUCUACUCCUCCGUCAGACACCGCAAACAGUCGCGUCAUGAACUCAAUGUCAUGAUUUCGCAUGAAAACGACAUUCAAAACAAAAUCCAGAGUAGGAGAAAGAAGCGGUCAUUAGAAAAAUUGCAGAAGGUUCGAGUGCGAAGAAAUGCAGCGGAGAUUCAAGAGGAGGAGAGCAACAUGAUCUGGGAGGGGGAGCUGGUGGUGCCAGGCUUGCCUCAGCAUGCCCAUAACUCACUGGGAGGUAAGAUCGAGGAAGAGGACGCCGGGGGCGCAGAAGAAGGGCUAAAAACGGAUGUAAAAAGAAGCCACUGCGGGUAGACUUCAAAGACAUUGGGUGGGAUGACUGGAUCAUUGCACCAGUCUCCUAUGAGGCAAAUCAGUGCACCGGGAAGUGUUUCUACCCACUGGCAUCUCACCUGAGCCCAACAAAGCAUGCUGUGGUGCAGACUCUGAUGAAUUCAGUACAUCCAGACCGCAGCCCCCGUGCCUGCUGUGUUCCCACCAAGCUGGGAC